CAGUUGCUUUCAUUUUGCUAUCAUGAGUGGACUCCAUCUGAGGAGAUGCCAACUAAAGAGAACCACAAACCUGAGGAAAUCCCAGAAGAAAAGAAUAAAAAUUUUAAUCAAAUCCUUAUUUUCUCUGGAUUUUUCUAUUACCUAUCAGUCAAGUACACUCUCUCUAAACCAUGCAGAGUGUUGUGAACAGUUGAAGGUACUCUUGUGGUGCUUCCCUAUUGACUGCCAAGAGUAUUCGUCACAGCAAAUUGUCUUCUUGUUGUUUCAGCCAUCCCCAAGUAGGUGUGGAGAAGAAGUAUCAGAUCAAAUAAAACACUUGGAUGGAGGGCUUUAGUUCUCAGGCCAAAGACAACUGAGGAGCUGGCUGGAUUACCAGAAAAGAUUAAGAGGUGACAGCUCUUGGCUCCAAGGCUGCAAGAGGAGAGUGACUGAGCAAGAUGGAGAAGGUC
Cervus elaphus (red deer) is the source of this 449-nucleotide long non-coding RNA. RefSeq lists it as uncharacterized. The record is from RefSeq and is a predicted model, not a curated record. NCBI's taxonomy places the organism in Eukaryota, Metazoa, Chordata, Mammalia, Artiodactyla, Cervidae. The transcript has 2 exons.